GUCUAUGGCCAUAUCACCCUGAACAUGCCUAAUUUUGUCUGAUCUUGGAAGCUAAGCAGGGUUGGGCCUGGUUAGUACUUGGAUGGGAGAAACUCCUCGUGUCAUAAAUA
Molecule: ribosomal RNA, 110 nt
Filed under: Propithecus coquereli (Coquerel's sifaka)
Lineage: Eukaryota; Metazoa; Chordata; Mammalia; Primates; Indriidae
Source: RNAcentral